UACAGAGGGUGCGAGCGUUAAUCGGAUUACUGGGCGUAAAGCGUGCGUAGGUGGUGAUUUAAGUUAGAUGUGAAAACCCUGGGCUUAACCUAGGAAUGGCAUUUGAUACUGAGUCACUUGAGUACUGUAGAGGAAAGUGGAAUUUCAGGUGUAGCGGUGAAAUGCGUAGAUAUCUGAAGGAACAUCAGUGGCGAAGGCGACUUUUCUGGGCAGACACUGACACUGAGGCACGAAAGCGUGGGGAGCAAACAGG
This 253-nucleotide ribosomal RNA is filed under the name uncultured bacterium. RNAcentral describes it as "partial 16S ribosomal RNA". It matches the Rfam family "Bacterial small subunit ribosomal RNA", at positions 524 to 776 of the family's 1533-position model. The record is from RNAcentral.